Molecule: ribosomal RNA, 494 nt
Filed under: uncultured bacterium
Lineage: Bacteria
Description: partial 16S ribosomal RNA
Rfam family: Bacterial small subunit ribosomal RNA
Source: RNAcentral
GACGAACGCUGGCGGCGUGCUUAACACAUGCAAGUCGAACGGAAAGGCCUGCUUUCCCUUGUGGAUUGCGGGUACUCGAGUGGCGAACGGGUGAGUAACACGUGAGUGAUCUGCCCCCAACUUGGGUAUAAGCCUGGGAAACUGGGUCUAAUUCCCGAUAGGACUGCAGGGUGGUGCCUGUGGUGGAAAACGAUUUUCUAGUGGUUGGGGAUGAGCUCGCGGCCUAUCAGCUUGUUGGUGGGGUAAUGGCCUACCAAGGCGGCGACGGGUAGCCGGCCUGAGAGGGUGGACGGCGACAUUGGGACUGAGAUACGGCCCAGACUCCUACGGGAGGCAGCAGUGGGGAAUAUUGCACAAUGGGCGGAAGCCUGAUGCAGCGACGCAGCGUGGGGGAUGACGGCCUUCGGGUUGUAAACUCCUUUCGACCGCGAGGAAGCCACCUGGUUGGAAGGGUGGUGACGGUAGUGGUAGAAGAAGCACCGGCUAACUACGUG